This 1542-nucleotide ribosomal RNA is filed under the name Escherichia coli. Its description in RNAcentral is "bacterial SSU rRNA". It matches the Rfam family "Bacterial small subunit ribosomal RNA". The record is from RNAcentral. RNAcentral also lists the same sequence under 1 other name. Lineage: Bacteria; Pseudomonadati; Pseudomonadota; Gammaproteobacteria; Enterobacterales; Enterobacteriaceae.
AAAUUGAAGAGUUUGAUCAUGGCUCAGAUUGAACGCUGGCGGCAGGCCUAACACAUGCAAGUCGAACGGUAACAGGAAGCAGCUUGCUGCUUUGCUGACGAGUGGCGGACGGGUGAGUAAUGUCUGGGAAACUGCCUGAUGGAGGGGGAUAACUACUGGAAACGGUAGCUAAUACCGCAUAACGUCGCAAGACCAAAGAGGGGGACCUUAGGGCCUCUUGCCAUCGGAUGUGCCCAGAUGGGAUUAGCUAGUAGGUGGGGUAAAGGCUCACCUAGGCGACGAUCCCUAGCUGGUCUGAGAGGAUGACCAGCCACACUGGAACUGAGACACGGUCCAGACUCCUACGGGAGGCAGCAGUGGGGAAUAUUGCACAAUGGGCGCAAGCCUGAUGCAGCCAUGCCGCGUGUAUGAAGAAGGCCUUCGGGUUGUAAAGUACUUUCAGCGGGGAGGAAGGGAGUAAAGUUAAUACCUUUGCUCAUUGACGUUACCCGCAGAAGAAGCACCGGCUAACUCCGUGCCAGCAGCCGCGGUAAUACGGAGGGUGCAAGCGUUAAUCGGAAUUACUGGGCGUAAAGCGCACGCAGGCGGUUUGUUAAGUCAGAUGUGAAAUCCCCGGGCUCAACCUGGGAACUGCAUCUGAUACUGGCAAGCUUGAGUCUCGUAGAGGGGGGUAGAAUUCCAGGUGUAGCGGUGAAAUGCGUAGAGAUCUGGAGGAAUACCGGUGGCGAAGGCGGCCCCCUGGACGAAGACUGACGCUCAGGUGCGAAAGCGUGGGGAGCAAACAGGAUUAGAUACCCUGGUAGUCCACGCCGUAAACGAUGUCGACUUGGAGGUUGUGCCCUUGAGGCGUGGCUUCCGGAGCUAACGCGUUAAGUCGACCGCCUGGGGAGUACGGCCGCAAGGUUAAAACUCAAAUGAAUUGACGGGGGCCCGCACAAGCGGUGGAGCAUGUGGUUUAAUUCGAUGCAACGCGAAGAACCUUACCUGGUCUUGACAUCCACGGAAGUUUUCAGAGAUGAGAAUGUGCCUUCGGGAACCGUGAGACAGGUGCUGCAUGGCUGUCGUCAGCUCGUGUUGUGAAAUGUUGGGUUAAGUCCCGCAACGAGCGCAACCCUUAUCCUUUGUUGCCAGCGGUCCGGCCGGGAACUCAAAGGAGACUGCCAGUGAUAAACUGGAGGAAGGUGGGGAUGACGUCAAGUCAUCAUGGCCCUUACGACCAGGGCUACACACGUGCUACAAUGGCGCAUACAAAGAGAAGCGACCUCGCGAGAGCAAGCGGACCUCAUAAAGUGCGUCGUAGUCCGGAUUGGAGUCUGCAACUCGACUCCAUGAAGUCGGAAUCGCUAGUAAUCGUGGAUCAGAAUGCCACGGUGAAUACGUUCCCGGGCCUUGUACACACCGCCCGUCACACCAUGGGAGUGGGUUGCAAAAGAAGUAGGUAGCUUAACCUUCGGGAGGGCGCUUACCACUUUGUGAUUCAUGACUGGGGUGAAGUCGUAACAAGGUAACCGUAGGGGAACCUGCGGUUGGAUCACCUCCUUA